Molecule: long non-coding RNA, 151 nt
Organism: Triticum aestivum (bread wheat)
Lineage: Eukaryota; Viridiplantae; Streptophyta; Magnoliopsida; Poales; Poaceae
Exons: 3
Source: RefSeq, a predicted model, not a curated record
CGUGUGCUUUUCCGAUGUCAUUGAUGAAGGAGUUCAUGAUGGACAUGGCCUUGGAGGAGAUGCCGAUGUCCGGGUGCACCUGCUUCAGCACCUUGAAGAUGUAGAUCUUGUACGUCUCCACGCUCUUCUUGGACUUCUUCUUUCCCUUCUU